This 307-nucleotide ribosomal RNA is filed under the name uncultured eukaryote. Its description in RNAcentral is "partial 18S ribosomal RNA". It matches the Rfam family "Eukaryotic small subunit ribosomal RNA", at positions 1470 to 1796 of the family's 1831-position model. The record is from RNAcentral.
CCCUUAGACGUUCUGGGCCGCACGCGCGCUACUCUGACACAGGCAACGAGCUUUCCUUUACCGAAAGGUAUGGGUAAUCUUUUGAAACUGUGUCGUGCUGGGGAUAGAUCCUUGCAAUUUUUGAUCUUAAACGAGGAAUUCCUAGUAAGCGCGAGUCAUCAACUCGCGUUGAUUACGUCCCUGCCCUUUGUACACACCGCCCGUCGCUACUACCGAUUGAAUGGCUUAGUGAGGCCUCAGGAUCCGCGCUUAAUGUGUGGAGAAUUUGGACAAACUACGUCAUUUAGAGGAAGUAAAAGUCGUAACA